This 255-nucleotide ribosomal RNA is filed under the name Didymium environmental sample. Its description in RNAcentral is "partial 18S ribosomal RNA". It matches the Rfam family "Eukaryotic small subunit ribosomal RNA", at positions 28 to 241 of the family's 1831-position model. Lineage: Eukaryota; Evosea; Eumycetozoa; Physariida; Didymiaceae. The record is from RNAcentral.
AUGCUUCUCCUAAAGACUAAGCCAUGCAUGCCUUCGAAUAAGAGGUAGCAAUUCUCUCUGAAUCUGCGAACGGCUCCGCACACCAGUUGUAAACUAUAGCAAGCAUGCUUCGGGCUCCCUUCGCGGGGGUUUUGGGUAACACGGAUAACCCUGGUAAUUCUGAGGCUAAUACGAGACCGUAAUCCCUGGUUGGUCGGGCAACUGACUGGCUGGGGAGCGUGUGAUCUUCCGCUGAUUUUUUCCGGGGAACGGGUA